CAUUUGUUCACUUAAUUCCAUUCCCGUAACCCCACCAUUCCUUUGCAAACCAUUUGAAAGAAUUCCCAAAAAUUAAAAUCCAUUUUCACCUUGUCCCUGCCCCUGCCCCUGCCCAUAGCCUCCGGCCGAAUGGAACCGCCGAUUGCCGACUCACUGUCGUCCCGUGAGUGACAGACUCUCACCGAUUCACCGCCUCACGCCUGGCUGCCAACUUGGGUUAGGUUUUACGGUAAGUAAUCUGCGUUAUUAUGUGGAAAUUUCUGAUUGCUAGCAAUUUCUUGGGGGAAGAUGACCUCAUUAUAAUGGACCUCGACGGUUUGCCUUUAUGUUAUAAUUUCUUGCUACAUUACAACUGCGUUCUGAUUGUUGAGUAGUUAACAUAAUGUUGUCAAAAACUAUGCUUCGCCGCUAUUUCUCUUUGUUAGUUAGUUCAGAAGUUACAAAUAGGCAUAAUCUUGUGUUGCUAUGGAACUGUGGGCGAGAAAUCUUGGAUGUUCCCUCACUAUUCAUAUACUUUUUGAAAUAGUUGCUGCACAGUCGAAAUCAAAUUAAGUGGAAUCAAAAAUCUAAAUCUAAUGUAAUUACAGGAUUUUUUCUUCACCACUGAUAAUGAUUUUCUGAAUUAAUUAGCAAACACAAGUUUUUUUCGUUUUAAAAACAUCAAUUCUGACACAGAUACAAGAUCAAUUAUCGUUCAUUCUUCUUAAUCAUUAGUAUCAUCACCUUCUACAUUGCAGACUAACUGAAUCCCAAUGGAGGUUAGUUGGGAAUGUCGGGGCUGGGCUGAAAAGGUGGGCUAGAAGAUUAUAUGUAAGUUCCACCCCACUGCUUUGUCUGAACAGUGAAGAAGGUAGGUCAUUGAUUAUGUGCAAAGAUUAAUCCAGAAUUCCAAAUAUGGAUCUGUACUAUUAAAAACUUAUCACCAUGAUGGAGAUAUCGAUUUGUCAUUGUUGGAAUCCUGGAUCAAUUAUGGGAUUUAUUGUAUCUUAUAUUUUUGGUAUAAUUAUCAAUUAAGCAGGUUGAAAUCUUUGAUACUUUUCUUUAAUUCUUUUGCUGCGUGAUUUAGUUUGAGUAUUUGAAGUUGUCAUUUUUUUUUUGGUUAGCUUGGAUUAUGAUUUGGGAAAGAAUCUGAUCCUAUUUCAAAUAUGAAAUGCUUCAGAACUAAAGUAUGGUCUGAUAGUUUAUUCAUUUCAUAUAACUAAAAUCAUGGCUUGUAGGUAGGUGACAAUAUUAUGAUUGGAGAUUUUUCAUGAUAAUUUUUAUGCUUUUCUAUAAAUUCUGAAAUUUUGGUGUUACUCUGUUUGUAUAGUUUUUUCUCUAGCUCUUUGGCAUAGCACACUGAAUCUUUUACUUAAUACUGAAAAUGGAGUUAAGAAAAAGAAGCCAUUUUGGUUGUGCUGUUAAUUUUGUGUAAAACUUUUUUUGUUUUAUUGAUCUUAGUGAAUAUAUAUCUGGUUUACGAAUUGAGUAUGCUUUGCAUAAAUGUAAAGGCUCCAAAGUCUCAACUACGUCGCUCAUUAAAGGUCUAGCUUUUGGUUUUUGGCUCAGACAAUAAUAUGCCAAGUUGCAAGCUUUCUGUGCUGCCCUUACUGAGUAAUGAUUCACUAAUCUGGGGUCUAUUAUUUGAAGCAUUUUUCCCUUGUCAUUUAACUUCGGCCUGGCCCAAUCUAUUGAACUUUGCUCCUUGCUUGGCCUUUUUUUGUCCACGGAUUUCCUUCCUGUCAACAGCUCCAAAAGUACAAUCCCAAAACUGUGAACAUCACUUCUGGCAGUAAGGUGCCCUGCCCAUGUCAAGCCAACAUAAUUCUUAAAGUGUUUGAUUUAAUAACUAUACUUUUCAUCGUACUUGUAUCACUUCCUAGUAUUUGAUAUAAGCGCAGAAAAGGAUUGAAGAUUGUGACACAUCAAUUUUCGAUACGCCUGCUGAAUAUUCCAUCCAUGAUGAUGCUAUAGCUCGAGUUUUAGGUCCCGAACGUCAUGGGAGAGUUAGGGGACUCGAAUUUGGAGUUGUACCAUCAAAGGUGGAUGAACAAAUUCAAAGUAGUGGGAGAGUUAGAGAACUUGAAAGCCAAGUACAGAUUCAAGCACAAAGGAUGGGGACAUUAGAAGAAAAAAUGGAAGCAUUUAUCAUGUUUUCUUAGUAGGUUAUAAGUAGUUACUUUUUAUACAUUUCAUGAUUAUAUAGCUUUAUAUAGCCAAUUACAUGUAUAAUAACUUUUGUAAUUUUUGUAUCAUUAUACAGAAUGUGGAGGAUGGGAAUUCAAAUGCUUUUACUCAAGUUUCCGUUUCCUAUUUUAUUAAGUAUUUAUUUAAUAUAUAUUCAGUUUGUA
RNAcentral lists this long non-coding RNA (2330 nucleotides) under Olea europaea subsp. europaea. The record is from RNAcentral. Lineage: Eukaryota; Viridiplantae; Streptophyta; Magnoliopsida; Lamiales; Oleaceae.